AACGAGCCUCGAGGCUCGAAUAAUCUCUCCCCAAACUGUCCAUUUUUCUGCACAAUCUGAGCGCGAAUUAGGGCACUUGUUUACCAUAUUACAUGAAUCAGGCUGCACAUAGGACAACAAAGGGUCACCCUAUGAAGAGUAAAAGUCUCCAAAAGCGCCGGAAUAAAAUAUCCGCCAUCAUUAAAUCACGCGUUCCCUCGCGAACGUAAAAUAUCUCCGGUGCAGAAAAUAACUUAAUAAUAAUAAAAUGAAGAUAAUAAAUAAAAAAAGAUAAUAAUAAAUGAAGAUAAUAAAUAAAAUGAAGAAGAGCGUUUCGUUCGGGACCCGCCAGAGGACUCACCAAAAAAGUUGUUCCAGUGGAGUCUAACCUUAAACGUAGCGAUGAUGUCGCAAGGACGGACAAAGUCUGUUUACGUCCGAAUGCAGCCGUCAUCAUCACUGAAUCUCCACAGUAAACAUAGCCGAAAGAUGCUUCUGCAACAAGCACGCGAAUGAGUCCUGCGUCCAGAAGACGAAGCACGAAGCUCGCGGAAAAGAAAAUCGCCGAGAACGAGUCGAAUCAACGCGGAAGCAUCGCUCUCUAAAAAUAUUCACCGAGAAAUGAUCGCUCGACCCGUGAUCACGGCAGAAAAAUCCCGACGCACUCUUCUGACGCAGAAUUUUUCGUUUUCAGGUGGUCCGAUCGGUUUGAGACGCGCGCGAGCGGCGUCGUUUCGAGCGUGGGCGCUUCGAGCGGCGACCGCCUCGAGCGGGGCGCGCUUCGAGCGCGACUCACUAGUGGGGGAGGAGAGUCGCACGCAUCGUCCGCCGUCGCCGCCGUCGCCACCAUCACCGCCGCCAUUGCUGUCGAAUGUACCAAAGCGUUUCUCGAGCGCUCAUCGAAUAAAAGAUCGUAGUACAUACCUGCGAAGGAAAGUUGCAUGCCCCCACCCCCGUGACCCGCCGUGUUGUGCUCCUUAAUGUCGACUAACCAAGAUCUGCGACCACUUUCUCUCGGGCCGCAGUAAUCUCUCUAUUUAAUAUACGUGAAAGAAAUUGCCGUGUCGUUCUCGUGUGAUAUUUCUUGCCGCCGGGUGCGUAGUUAACACAAACACAAAUUUAUGCUUUCAGUUUCCAGAUACGUGAUGAUGGGUAACGCCGCGCAGUACAUCAGUCGAAUGUUCUCCUGUCCGAAUUGCCCGGGCGUGUUUACCAAAAAGAAAGGCCUCAGGGAGCACAUGAUCUACCAGUGCGGUCAGCCACCGAGAUACCAGUGUCCGUAUUGUAACCAUUGCACGAGAUUGAUAUCGAACGUAUACAAACACGUGCGCCGGAGGCAUCGCGGGGAAGCGGUCUGGUGCAUCGAUCUAAGGCGUGAAGAAAAGCCAUAACCGGCGGUCGCUGUGCGACCGUUUACUCGGCGAACGGCUCGUCGCCGCGCACCAGCCGGACCAUAACGCGAGGUUCCCGUGCCCGGGCUGCAGCAGCGUGUUCAACCGGAAGGACAACCUGAAGAAGCACAUGAAGUACGAGUGCGGCCAGGAGCCCAGGUUCAAGUGCCCUUACUGCGGCUACAGGUCGAAGAAGACGUCGAACGUGCGGGCCCACGUGCGCUGCAUUCAUCUGGGGUGCCCCGUGCACGCGAUCGAUCUCUUCAGGGUCGAGCAGGCCGAUCCGCAGGGCUCGUCGGAGUUCUUCGCCGACGCGAAACAAAGCGUCUACGACGGCUAGAAGCGUCGCGAAGCUUGUGGGCGUCGGAUCUCGCGUUUACGCGAACAAGAAACCGUUACGAGAGGUCCGGUGUCAUUUUGUAGCAUGAUCGCGUAUGGCCCGACGGAUCCUACGACGUGUUGCAUCGUUUCCCGUGACCGUUGGACUUUUGUCGAGCCGCGAGAGGAGAGCGGUGACUUUUUGUUUGUUUCUUUUCUUCCGCGGUGUAAUGUUAUGUUUGAUAUAACAUUAUUUAUUACUCGAUGCAACGUUACUUCACUCGAGAUGUGUGGUUCGACUUGAUGCUUCGAACGAUGAGAGGAGUUUUAAUCUUGUCGACGACGAACGUAUACCGCGUGGUACAUGUAAAGGAAGAAGUUGCUUCGAAUGAUCCGAGGAACCCGCCAUUUCCGGAUUGCGAGACAUUUUUGGGACACCCUGUGUGUAUAGCGCAAGCGGAGAGAAAAUUGACGUCCGAAGGAAUUCGGACUUUGACCGAGGGGGUUGAACGGGGGUUGAACGGUGGUUGAUCUCUGAGCGGGCCUGUGUACAGUGACGAAAUAAAACGUAAAAUCCUUCCUAAUCGACGUGAAUAUACAUAUAUAUUUUAUUGUACUUAUAUCGCAUCGUGUUGUAAUUAUAUUGUAUCAUAAUUC
This is a non-coding RNA of Megalopta genalis, 2345 nucleotides long. Lineage: Eukaryota; Metazoa; Arthropoda; Insecta; Hymenoptera; Halictidae. The record is from RefSeq and is a predicted model, not a curated record.